UUUUUAGCUCACCUGGCCUGAAGGGCCAAGUGAGCUUUUCUCAUCACUUGGCGUCCGGCGUCGUCCGGCGUCCGUCGUCGUUAACUUUUACAAAAAUCUUCUUCUCUGAAACUGCUGGGCCAAAUUUAACCAAACAUGGCCAAAAUCAUUAUUAGGGUAUCUAGUUUUAAAAUUGUGUCCGGUGACCCGCCCAACCAACCAAGAUGGCCUCCAUGGCUAAAAAUAGAACAGGGGUAAAAUGCAGUUUUUGGCUUAUAACUCAAAAACCAAAGCAUUUAGAGCGAAUCUGACAUGUCGUAAAAUUGUUUAUCAGGUGAAGAUCUAUCUGCCCUGAAAUUUUGAGAUGAAUCGGACA
RNAcentral lists this long non-coding RNA (355 nucleotides) under Mytilus galloprovincialis (Mediterranean mussel). Lineage: Eukaryota; Metazoa; Mollusca; Bivalvia; Mytilida; Mytilidae. The record is from RNAcentral.